CCAAGGGGAUGGGUUAAAAGCAGAAAACAAAUUUUGUUGUAAUGUAUGUUUCAAUGACAAUAAAGACGAUAUUACUACUUCUUACUAUUACUUCAAAAUCUGACAAUUUGAGUAAUCUUACUGGAGAGCAGGAGCGUAAAUUUGGAAUUGAGUAAUUCGCUCAUCUUUAACACAUGCCUGCCAUGAUGGUAAAACCAUUGGAGUUUCUUAAGGCAUUGAAUAAAUGUUUGUGCUUUAUUUUCAUGGCUUCACACUGACAUGGUAGCUAGGCUACAGAAGUUAAGCUGAGAUAAAGACGGGAACAGCUGGUGAUGCCUUUAGUUUAUUACUGCCACCCGCUGGACUGAUGGUGUAGUGCAGUUUUCUUCUCCAUACAUCAUUACGCAGAUUUAAAUUAAUUCCCCAUGGCCUGUCAGAGCAUUGGAAACAAAAAGCACACAAAUUGUCCAGGUUUUUAAAAAAAAACAACAAAAAAAAAAAAACGUUUAAGCGUUACCGUUUUCACCGCCGUCAUUGAUUUCUCUCAAUAUUCUCAGCCCGCACAUCGCUUUUCAAGCACAAUGAGAGGACGCUCUCAGUUCUGUACAAUUUCUUUGUGCUACUCUUUGUUGUUAUGCAAAACGGCAGCUUUUUGAUAUCGUACACAGCAAAUUCAAAAGUGUUAAAUAAUGUGGUGUUAGUAGACUUUGCUCAAAGGCAGUGUUAAUUUAGCUCUUAAUAGAGUUAUAUUAUACAAAUUUAACUCUGAGGUGUCAAAUUUUAGUAGUUAAAAUUGAGUGUUAAAAAAUAAUGUUGCAUAACAAAUCUGGGGGUGUUAAAAUGGAAAAAAACAACUCUUUGUUUAUCAACUCUGAACUCCUAUAGUGGAUUUGACACCCAAAGAGUACAUUCACAGACUCCGCCUCCAAUGCUACAGGAACCGAACGAAGCUGAGGAAAACUUUACUCUCCAUUUUGCUGUUAUAAAGACCCGUUUACCCAGCCUGAUUGAUCAGGAUUUCUCGAUGAUGUUUGGGGAUGAAGUUUCUGGAAGAUUUCUCACGAAGUGGCUUUCAUAUUUCAAGCAAAAAAGUGUUCACAGAAAGCCAAAGUCUUUCAUCAAGACCCUGGGUUGACGAGUUACAAGCUUCUGUUGACCCGGAACAUCCAUCUGUCUUUGGUAAAUUUGGCCAGUGUUUUCUCUUCACUUUUUCUCUUGCUGUACUGUAAACUGCAAGCAAAUAUAUCUUAAGUGAUUUAUGCAUAUUUGGUUUUUGAAUAAGCUUUAAAAAGUUGUAUCUGUUUAACUGAAUUUUGUCUCCAAUGUGCUUUUUUGUCUUUAAGGCUGGGAUAGUGACAUUGCAGCUCUUCUGCUGUUGCUGCAUCUGCUGCCCCCCACACCUAGAGGCCACAAAAAAACCCAGCAAAGAUUAGCUCUGCACAGGCAGCCAAUCAUCUCCUAAGGUUUGUCAAGGUAUGCACCCUUAACACUUAUUGGAACUAAUGAUUUUUGUUUUUUUCUUUAUUCAACACUAGUUUGUAAAAAUUAAAUGCCAUGAGAUAUAAACAUGUAGGAUGGCAUUAAUACAGUCACCUUUGGUGUGUUUUACAUUAAAUAUUGCUGUAUUUAUAAUUAUAAAACAGGAGAGACAAAAUCUGUAAGGUCUUUUAAAAGGAAUGUAGUCCUCACAUUAUGAGCUGAACCCAAAUAAGCGGAAGAGGAUGGAUGGAUGGAAUAUAGUCAUAGUCAUCAUAUGUCAAGCUAACUGUUUUAAAGAAUAUUUUACUUUUGACUGAUAUAUGCCAUUUAAAUUUCAGGAAGGAGUCAGCCUUACUACUUUCCUGAAGCAAGUGGACACCAGACAACCAUUCCUUCUCUGCAAGAACAUUCAGAGGUUUUUCAUUGUUGUGGAUCAGAGAGCUAUCCCCUGUGAUGCUCCAACAUCAGUGGCUGCUUUUGAUGGGCUAUUCAAAGCACACUUUGUCUUCAGCCUGUCAUAUGAUGAGGCUCUUUGCAGUUUUUAGUUUUUACACAAAACUAUUGUUUCAAAAGAUUUGAAUAUGGUCCUUUAAAAUCAAGAGCAGCCAAUGGCCUGGAAGGUGGAGAUCUACUUUCUAACACCUUAAAUCUGGAUUCAUGCUGAAAUAUUUUAACUACAAACUGGGUACGAAAUUAUGGCACUGAAUACCAGGUUUGGACUGUAUUUAUGUACUGCAAUGUUCAAUGAUCUACCUGUGUUUAAUACAACUUGCCAUAUUAUAAUACAUGAACAGCAGGCAUUCAUAAUAAGCUGUACUGCCAACACUUUGUACUUUGAUGAACAUACCGUAUUGAAGAAAAAAAAUAAUGAGCAUGUUAUUAUUUGCAUCGGCAAGCUCACCUAUGUCAGACCUUUUGAUAGGCAAUAUUCUAAUAAAAGUGAGAACAUGUAUAUUGUUCCACAUUGCUACAUGUUUUGAAAAAUAUUUUCUAAUUGUGGUGCACUUUUGAAAUAAAUAUUUGCUGAGAAAAACUAA
Molecule: long non-coding RNA, 2495 nt
Organism: Fundulus heteroclitus (mummichog)
Lineage: Eukaryota; Metazoa; Chordata; Actinopteri; Cyprinodontiformes; Fundulidae
Exons: 2
Source: RefSeq, a predicted model, not a curated record